ACUCCUACGGGAGGCAGCAGUAGGGAAUCUUCCACAAUGGGCGCAAGCCUGAUGGAGCAACACCGCGUGAGUGAAGAAGGGUUUCGGCUCGUAAAGCUCUGUUGUUAAAGAAGAACACGUAUGAGAGUAACUGUUCAUACGUUGACGGUAUUUAACCAGAAAGUCACGGCUAACUACGUGCCAGCAGCCGCGGUAAUACGUAGGUGGCAAGCGUUAUCCGGAUUUAUUGGGCGUAAAGAGAGUGCAGGCGGUUUUCUAAGUCUGAUGUGAAAGCCUUCGGCUUAACCGGAGAAGUGCAUCGGAAACUGGAUAACUUGAGUGCAGAAGAGGGUAGUGGAACUCCAUGUGUAGCGGUGGAAUGCGUAGAUAUAUGGAAGAACACCAGUGGCAAAGGCGGCUACCUGGUCUGCAACUGACGCUGAGACUCGAAAGCAUGGGUAGCGAACAGGAUUAGAUACCCUGGUAGGAUAGCG
This 473-nucleotide ribosomal RNA is filed under the name uncultured bacterium. RNAcentral's name for it is "bacterial SSU rRNA". It matches the Rfam family "Bacterial small subunit ribosomal RNA", at positions 335 to 801 of the family's 1533-position model. The record is from RNAcentral.